GGAGGGAUGGCUGAGUGGUCGAAAGCGGCGGUCUUGAAAACCGUUGAGGGUAACGCCUCCGUGGGUUCGAAUCCUACUCCCUCCGCCA
This 88-nucleotide transfer RNA is filed under the name Olavius algarvensis associated proteobacterium Delta 3. RNAcentral describes it as "tRNA-Ser-TGA". It matches the Rfam family "tRNA". Rfam says of the family: Transfer RNA (tRNA) molecules are approximately 80 nucleotides in length. Their secondary structure includes four short double-helical elements and three loops (D, anti-codon, and T loops). Further hydrogen bonds mediate the characteristic L-shaped molecular structure. tRNAs have two regions of fundamental functional importance: the anti-codon, which is responsible for specific mRNA codon recognition, and the 3' end, to which the tRNAs corresponding amino acid is attached (by aminoacyl-tRNA synthetases). tRNAs cope with the degeneracy of the genetic code in two manners: having more than one tRNA (with a specific anti-codon) for a particular amino acid; and 'wobble' base-pairing, i.e. permitting non-standard base-pairing at the 3rd anti-codon position. The record is from RNAcentral. Lineage: Bacteria; Deltaproteobacteria.